Pelobates cultripes (western spadefoot toad) is the source of this 210-nucleotide non-coding RNA. The record is from the annotation of a GenBank genome assembly. NCBI's taxonomy places the organism in Eukaryota, Metazoa, Chordata, Amphibia, Anura, Pelobatidae.
UCUUGACAUCCGCUAGAGGCGCUUGCGUGCUUCUCACUGUGAAAAUCGCAGUGAGAAGACGCCAGUGUCCAUAGGAAAGCAUUGUGAAUGCUUUCCUAUGGACUGGCUGAAUGCGCUCGCGGGUCCUGCCGGGAAUGCGCAUUCAGCCGAAGAGGAGGAGAAGAGGGAGGAGAGGAGGAGGAGAGUUCCCUGUCUGGCACUGGAGAAAGA